ACAUGCAAGUCGAGCGGUAACAUUUCUAGCUUGCUAGAAGAUGACGAGCGGCGGACGGGUGAGUAACGCGUAGGAAUCUGCCUAGUAGUGGGGGACAACAUGUGGAAACGCAUGCUAAUACCGCAUACGCCCUACGGGGGAAAGGAGGGGAUCCUCGGACCUCUCGCUAUUAGAUGAGCCUGCGUGAGAUUAGCUAGUUGGUGGGGUAAAGGCCUACCAAGGCGACGAUCUCUAGCUGGUCUGAGAGGAUGAUCAGCCACACUGGGACUGAGACACGGCCCAGACUCCUACGGGAGGCAGCAGUGGGGAAUAUUGGACAAUGGGCGCAAGCCUGAUCCAGCCAUGCCGCGUGUGUGAAGAAGGCCUUAGGGUUGUAAAGCACUUUCAGGAGUGAGGAAGGGCGUAUAGUUAAUACCUGUAUGUUUUGACGUUAACUCCAGAAGAAGCACCGGCUAACUCUGUGCCAGCAGCCGCGGUAAUACAGAGGGUGCGAGCGUCAAUCGGAA
RNAcentral lists this ribosomal RNA (506 nucleotides) under uncultured bacterium. RNAcentral describes it as "bacterial SSU rRNA". It matches the Rfam family "Bacterial small subunit ribosomal RNA", at positions 53 to 550 of the family's 1533-position model. The record is from RNAcentral.